UACGUAGGGUGCAAGCGUUGUCCGGAAUUAUUGGGCGUAAAGAGCUCGUAGGCGGUUUGUUGCGUCGGCUGUGAAAUCCCGAGGCUCAACCUCGGGUCUGCAGUCGAUACGAGCAAACUAGAGUGUUGCAGGGGAGGCUGGAAUUCCUGGUGUAGCGGUGAAAUGCGCAGAUAUCAGGAGGAACACCGAUGGCGAAGGCAGGUCUCUGGGCAUUAACUGACGCUGAGGAGCGAAAGCAUGGGGAGCGAACAGG
RNAcentral lists this ribosomal RNA (253 nucleotides) under uncultured bacterium. RNAcentral's name for it is "partial 16S ribosomal RNA". It matches the Rfam family "Bacterial small subunit ribosomal RNA", at positions 524 to 776 of the family's 1533-position model. The record is from RNAcentral.